Molecule: ribosomal RNA, 468 nt
Filed under: uncultured bacterium
Lineage: Bacteria
Description: partial 16S ribosomal RNA
Rfam family: Bacterial small subunit ribosomal RNA
Source: RNAcentral
GACGAACGCUGGCGGCGUGCUUAACACAUGCAAGUCGAACGGAAAGGCCCUGCUUUUGUGGGGUGCUCGAGUGGCGAACGGGUGAGUAACACGUGGGUAACCUGCCCUUGACUUUGGGAUAACUUCAGGAAACUGGGGCUAAUACCGGAUAGGAGCUCCUGCUGCAUGGUGGGGGUCGGAAAGUUUCGGCGGUUGGGGAUGGACUCGCGGCUUAUCAGCUUGUUGGUGGGGUAGUGGCUUACCAAGGCUUUGACGGGUAGCCGGCCUGAGAGGGUGACCGGCCACAUUGGGACUGAGAUACGGCCCAGACUCCUACGGGAGGCAGCAGUGGGGAAUAUUGCACAAUGGGCGGAAGCCUGAUGCAGCAACGCCGCGUGCGGGAUGACGGCCUUCGGGUUGUAAACCGCUUUCGCCUGUGACGAAGCGUGAGUGACGGUAAUGGGUAAAGAAGCACCGGCUAACUACGUG